ACUCUCUGGGCGUGUCGAAUCGCAGCGGGGCUAAUUUUAUAACUCAAUUUUGGUUGGCUCGUUCGCUCCGGCGGGUGCUCAAAAAUAUUGU
This is a long non-coding RNA of Drosophila arizonae, 91 nucleotides long. The record is from RefSeq and is a predicted model, not a curated record. NCBI's taxonomy places the organism in Eukaryota, Metazoa, Arthropoda, Insecta, Diptera, Drosophilidae.